Molecule: transfer RNA, 72 nt
Filed under: Camelus bactrianus (Bactrian camel)
Lineage: Eukaryota; Metazoa; Chordata; Mammalia; Artiodactyla; Camelidae
Also listed under: 1 other name
Rfam family: tRNA
About the family: Transfer RNA (tRNA) molecules are approximately 80 nucleotides in length.
Source: Rfam by way of RNAcentral
AGGGGUGUAACUCAGUGGUAGAGCAUGUGCUUAGCAUGCAUGAGGUCCUGGGAUCAAUCCCCAGUACCUCUG